RNAcentral lists this unclassified non-coding RNA (337 nucleotides) under soil metagenome. RNAcentral describes it as "partial contains 5.8S ribosomal RNA, internal transcribed spacer 2, and large subunit ribosomal RNA". The stretch from base 1 to 120 matches the Rfam family "5.8S ribosomal RNA", at positions 35 to 154 of the family's 154-position model. The record is from RNAcentral.
GAUGAAGAACGUAGCGAAAUGCGAUACGUAGUGUGAAUUGCAGAAUUCAGUGAAUCAUCGAAUCUUUGAACGCACAUUGCACCUCUCGGUAUUCCGGGAGGUAUGCCUGUUCGAGCGUCAUUUGUACCGUCAAGCUCUGCUUGGUGUUGGGUGUUUGUUCCGCCUCUGUGUGUGAACUCGCCUCAAAACAAUUGGCAGCCGGCGUACUUGUUUCGGAGCGCAGCACAUUUUGCGAUCCAGAUCAACGUACAGCGGCAUCCAAGAAGCCUUAUUUAACGCUCUUGACCUCGGAUCAGGUAGGGAUACCCGCUGAACUUAAGCAUAUCAAUAAGCGGGA